ACUACAAACGACUCCAGGAGCCCUGGCUUCCCCGCACCAUGCACCGCAUCUAGUCAGCAUGAGGUCAGCAAAACAAAUCAACGAAACAUGAAAACUCCCAGCUGAGAUGGGCCCUCUUGUGUACGUCUAGCCACUAAUGCACAGGAUGAGAAUGCGGUCCCAAAGAAAUCCGGUACAUAAAUUUGCCGUAUUUUGUGAAGCCCAUUCUCAGCGAUGGGUACUGUUCAGCUCCAAAAAACAGAAAUGAAGAAAGACGAGGAAAGCUAAUUCAUACUAAAAACGGACAUUUUUAAGACACAGCAACUUGUAAAUCUCAACAUGGGACCACACUGUUGCCUUCAUGGGGCAGCACUCAACAAGAACUGGGACAAUCGAAGAGCAAGUUUUUAUGGGGACCCUGUUGCUGCUUUAGAUUCUGAUGUAAUUGAAGAGGAUAAGAGACCCUUCAAAGAAUCCCAGAAAAAUCACUAAUCUUCUCUCUGCAUGAAAAAAGCCAGGGAGUGAACACAGUAUCUUACAGAGUGAAGAAGGCCACAAGAACAAGAGAGGG
Long non-coding RNA from Balaenoptera acutorostrata (minke whale), 550 nucleotides. RefSeq lists it as uncharacterized. The transcript is spliced from 4 exons. NCBI's taxonomy places the organism in Eukaryota, Metazoa, Chordata, Mammalia, Artiodactyla, Balaenopteridae. The record is from RefSeq and is a predicted model, not a curated record.